CCUACGGGAGGCAGCAGUGGGGAAUUUUGGACAAUGGGCGAAAGCCUGAUCCAGCAAUGCCGCGUGAGUGAAGAAGGCCUUCGGGUUGUAAAGCUCUUUUGUCAGGGAAGAAACGGUGGGAGCUAAUAUCUCCUGCUAAUGACGGUACCUGAAGAAUAAGCACCGGCUAACUACGUGCCAGCAGCCGCGGUAAUACGUAGGGUGCAAGCGUUAAUCGGAAUUACUGGGCGUAAAGCGUGCGCAGGCGGUUUUGUAAGUCUGAUGUGAAAUCCCCGGGCUCAACCUGGGAAUUGCAUUGGAGACUGCAAGGCUAGAAUCUGGCAGAGGGGGGUAGAAUUCCACGUGUAGCAGUGAAAUGCGUAGAUAUGUGGAGGAACACCGAUGGCGAAGGCAGCCCCCUGGGUCAAGAUUGACGCUCAUGCACGAAAGCGUGGGGAGCAAACAGGAUUAGAUACCCUGGUAGUCCACGCCCUAAACGAUGUCUACUAGUUGUCGGGUCUUAAUUGACUUGGUAACGCAGCUAACGCGUGAAGUAGACCGCCUGGGGAGUACGGUCGCAAGAUUAAAACGUCAAAAUUGAAAUUGACGG
RNAcentral lists this ribosomal RNA (589 nucleotides) under uncultured bacterium. RNAcentral's name for it is "bacterial SSU rRNA". It matches the Rfam family "Bacterial small subunit ribosomal RNA", at positions 338 to 916 of the family's 1533-position model. The record is from RNAcentral.